AAAAAACGUCGAUCCCAAAUCCCCAAUCCCCACUGCCGCCCCCGAGCCCUCGACCUGCUCCCGACCUGCGCCGCCGCCCCGACCCACUGCGCCGCCACCCCUACCUGCGCCGUCUCCCAGACCCACUGCGCCGCCGCCCAGUGUUCCUCUUCAUCGUCGUCGUCCCUGGGCCAAGGCUGAGGAGCCGCCGCAACGUCGCCAUCGACCACCUCAUCCUCUACCUCCGGCCACCGCGACGCCAUCGACGGAUUUGUCGUCUUCACUGCACCCCCGUCCUCCUCGAGCUCAUCCCCAGAACCGCGAUACCUCAUCUAAGGCCUAGAUUAUGAAGAAGGUUUUGAAGAUCCAGAAGACUAAGGAGAAGCAGCUAUAAGGUCAGAGAAUUACAGAGAGUGUGCUCUGUUUUAUGUAUGUAAUCCUGCCUACUGCACCUAUUUUUUGGGCAGUGGCAAGAUCCCAAUAUUGUGAUGCUGCUGCUACUAUAGAUCCCAAACUUGUGAUGCUGCUGCCACUUUUUUCUGUAGUUGUUUCUACUGUUGUUUCAUAGAAAUGGAUUCAUAGUGUCCUGAAGUGGGGCUUGAACCUGCACAAUUGUCUGUCACCACUCACCAGGACCAUGAUGUCCAGCCCAAACCAUCUAUCUGAUGGUUGUGGGCUUCUAUAUGCUGGCAGCUUCUAUGGUGUAUAAAAUUAUCUUAUGAAA
Triticum dicoccoides is the source of this 703-nucleotide long non-coding RNA. RefSeq lists it as uncharacterized. The transcript has 2 exons. The record is from RefSeq and is a predicted model, not a curated record. NCBI's taxonomy places the organism in Eukaryota, Viridiplantae, Streptophyta, Magnoliopsida, Poales, Poaceae.